Molecule: RNase P RNA, 291 nt
Filed under: Bacteroidota bacterium
Lineage: Bacteria; Pseudomonadati; Bacteroidota
Description: Bacteroidetes bacterium (activated sludge metagenome) partial RNase P RNA component class A
Rfam family: Bacterial RNase P class A
About the family: Ribonuclease P (RNase P) is a ubiquitous endoribonuclease, found in archaea, bacteria and eukarya as well as chloroplasts and mitochondria. Its best characterised activity is the generation of mature 5'-ends of tRNAs by cleaving the 5'-leader elements of precursor-tRNAs. Cellular RNase Ps are ribonucleoproteins.
Source: RNAcentral
GCUACAGGCCAGGCUAUCGCUUUUCUGUAAAAAGAAAGGAGGAAAGUCCGGACAGCACAGAGCAAUGCACCCGGUAACGCCGGGCUUCAUGAGUAAAAUCGUGAACGAGACAGUGCCACAGAAAAUGACCUCAACUCUUGAUCUUUUCCUUUGGAGAAGGACAAGGAUGGAAGGGUGAAAAUGUGAGGUAAGAGCUCACAGCUUGUAAUGGUAACAUUAUUCGCGGGUAAACCUUGCAUGCUGAAAUGCCACAUAAACUAUCGGUAAGGGCUGCUCGCCCGGUUUAUCGAA